This 2642-nucleotide unclassified non-coding RNA is filed under the name Dimorphilus gyrociliatus. RNAcentral's name for it is "dgyrCDS6536". Lineage: Eukaryota; Metazoa; Annelida; Polychaeta; Dinophilidae. The record is from RNAcentral.
GGCAGACGAUUGUCGAACGCCGCUCCGUUCGAAUAUUUCGAUUCUUUACCGGAUAUUGAUAUUCUAUUCCACGAAAUCGAACGCGUGUGUGUAAUAUACGCGUCUCAAAGUGCACGGAACGACUGUACGUAUUACCUCUCUUCUUAUUUUCUUAAUCUUUCCUUAAUCUUUCCUUUUUUUGUUUAUUUUUUAUACUUUGAUUUCUUUUUUUCUCCGUUUUCUUCUCUCUUGUUCUAUUCUUUAUUCUCUUCUUAAUUUGCAACCUCUUUCUCCCUCUCGUAGCCCUUGAUUUGAGAUUUUCGUUGUUGCUUAUCGAACGUCUUUUACGCGCCCGCAGCGCCAGGCCCGCGUUUUCGAACGAUGAAAAUGUGGGUGGUAGCAGCUGGCUUUAAUCGGCGCCCGUGUGGGUACUGGUUCGACUUAUACGCACGCCUAUAACGGAAUGCGUCUAAUCAAUCGACGUCGUCCGGGAGACGUCUAGCUUUCGAAGGCUGUAAAGAAAGGAGAAAAUCAUUCAAGCGAGAAGAGUGUGAGAAAAGAUAUAACAAGAGCGAUAGAGGAGAAGAAGAGAGAAAGGGUAGGAGAAAAGAAAAUGAGGCUAUAUAUAUUAUAUAUAUGUAUGAAUAUAAAAAAAGUAUAUAUGGUGAGAGAGGGACAGAAGGAAGAAGAGAGAAGCAGAAAUAGAUAGGAAUUAGAAGAAGCAGGGAGAGAGAGGGGAGGGAGAGUGAGUGGGAGAGUGAGCGUUUAUUUUAGAGAUUUACCCGCUUUCUAUAAACUCUGUUUAUUCAAGUCGGCCUCUUUUUAUUCUUUCUUUCUUUUUUUUCUUUUCGCUAUAUCUUUUCAUUGUAAACAGCAUGCCCGAAUCGCCAGCGCCCACCGCCACCGUCGUUUUGUCGUCGCCUUCUCGACCUCUUUCCAGUCCGCCUUCUCGAACUCCCACUCCGCCUCAUUCGUCAUCCUCUGGACAGCCGACUAGUGCUAAUCAACAGCUGCCUCCCGCUUGUGGAGCUAAGCAACUCAGCAAGCUCAAGCGCUUCCUCACCACCCUUCAGCAGUUCGGAAGCGAUAUUUCACCGGAAAUUGGAGAGCGUGUUCGAUCGCUCGUUUUGGCUCUCGUUAACUCGCAUCUGUCCAUAGAAGAAUUUCACAACAAACUACAGGAGGCUACCAAUUUCCCACUAAGACCAUUUGUUAUACCUUUCUUAAAGGCCAACCUGCCCCUACUGCAGAGGGAAUUGGCGCAGUGCGCUUCCUUAGCAAAGCAGACGCCCCAGCAGUAUUUUGCUCGACACCAUCACGUCCUUCUCUCAGACGGUCUGGAGGGUAGUGUAGUUGAACAGUUAAACGAAAAUGGCAAGCGGCCGUCGCCUGAUAAGACGAAAGAAGAAGCGCCGUCGACGAAACGACACUGCAAUUCAUCGCCUACUUCCAUCAAUUUGCCUAUAGGAGGAGGACCAAUACGUCUAGAGGACAUAAGUCUAUCAAGGGAAUUGCGUGAGAGAGAAAUGAGCCAGAUGAGAGAGCGAGUGGAACGUGAGCGUCGCAUGGGUUCGUUCAAUACCCUCUUCGCCAACGCCCGCCACGACAUUUUCGAAGAUGAGUUCAAGCAUGUUGAGCACAUGCUACAUUGCCUCUCCGAUAUGGUCGAUAAGACAAAACGAGCGGUCUCUGGCCUUCAAGAAAGAGUUAACAGAGAGAGAGAAGAUCUCUUUGCAUGGCUCCGACGAUCGGAUAUCGAUAAGAAGACGGUCGAUCCUCUGAUACUCAGGCAGACAGAGGAGCGAGUGGCUGAUGUAAAGAAAAGAGCGGAAGAGGCCGUAAACGAAGUGAAACGUCAAGCGGUAGCGGAACUACAGAAGGCAGUGUCGGCUGCCGAAAGCAAAGCUUCAGAACUCGUUCACGCGGAAAGGGUAAAGCUGGAACGAGCUUUAGCCGACGCUCGCAAACAAGCGACGCAAGACGCACUCACCAUGCUUAAUCAACAAGAAGAAUCUAAUGAGGUAAGCGGUGAAGGUCACAUCACUCAAUGCAACCGAUUCGAUUUUCGCCAACAGUCCUGCUGGAAUUGCGGAAGAAAGGCAAGUGAAACGUGCAGUGGCUGCAAUGUUGCCCGUUAUUGCGGUGCGUUCUGUCAACACAAAGACUGGGAAUUACACCACAGAGUUUGCGGACAAUCGAACGUUUCCCGACAUUCGCAGGCGAUCGCAUCGGCAACAGCAGAUUCUCAAACGCCUCGUCCUAAGUCGAGGACAUCGAGUCCCACGCCAUCUAGCGCUGUUGAAUAACGAUGGAUAUAUCAUCUUAACUUCACUCCUUCCUUCUAUUUCUUCUUUAUCUUCUUCUUCUUCUUCUUCUUCUUCUUCUAGUCCUUGCCCUGCCCUUCUCCCAUGACGACCCUCGCCCUACCCAUUUUCGGUUUGUUUUCUUUUUCUGUUGAAUCUGUGAUAUUGUUAUUAUAUACCGUCUCGGUUUAUGUAAAGGAAAAAGGCAAGAUGAAUAUGUAUAUAUAUAUAUUUAUGUAUAUCGAAAUGUUUAUAUAUACAUAUGCAUAGCGUAUAGAUGUCGCGCGGCUUGUGCUUUAGAUCUGGUUUAAAAGUAACCUGAUGUUUUACAAUUAUAUAAUAUUUAAGUUUAUAUUCGUA